This 253-nucleotide ribosomal RNA is filed under the name uncultured bacterium. RNAcentral's name for it is "partial 16S ribosomal RNA". It matches the Rfam family "Bacterial small subunit ribosomal RNA", at positions 524 to 776 of the family's 1533-position model. The record is from RNAcentral.
UACGUAGGUGGCAAGCGUUGUCCGGAAUUAUUGGGCGUAAAGCGCGCGCAGGUGGUUUCUUAAGUCUGAUGUGAAAGCCCACGGCUCAACCGUGGAGGGUCAUUGGAAACUGGGGAACUUGAGUGCAGGAGAGAAGAGUGGAAUUCCACGUGUAGCGGUGAAAUGCGUAGAUAUUGGGAAGAACACCGGUGGCGAAGGCGGCUCUCUGGACCGAUACUGACGCUGAGGCGCGAAAGCGUGGGGAGCAAACAGG